AUCUAGGUAGCUUAAGUUUAAAGUUUGAUAUUGAAGAUAUCAAGAUAUAUUUUUAUCCUGGAUA
This 64-nucleotide transfer RNA is filed under the name Trigonotylus caelestialium. RNAcentral's name for it is "tRNA-Phe". Lineage: Eukaryota; Metazoa; Arthropoda; Insecta; Hemiptera; Miridae. The record is from RNAcentral.